Molecule: ribosomal RNA, 415 nt
Filed under: uncultured bacterium
Lineage: Bacteria
Description: bacterial SSU rRNA
Rfam family: Bacterial small subunit ribosomal RNA
Source: RNAcentral
AGUGGCGCACGGGUGAGUAACACAUGGCUGACCUGCCCUUCAGCGGGGAACAACCAGUGGAAACGCUGGCUAAUACCCCAUACGCUCGUGCGGAUUAGAAGCGCAUGAGGAAAGCGCAAGUGCUGAAGGAGGGGGCUGUGGCCCAUCAGCUGGUUGGUAGGGUAACGGCCUACCAAGGCGAGGACGGGUAGGGGACCUGAGAGGGUGACCCCCCACACGGGUACUGAGAGACGGACCCGACUCCUACGGGAGGCAGCAGUAAGGGAUAUUGCGCAAUGGGCGAAAGCCUGACGCAGCAACGCCGCGUGCGGGAUGACGGCCUUCGGGUUGUAAACCGCUUUUCAGGGUGAAGAGGCAGGACGGUAGCCCUGGAAGAAGUCUCGGCUAACUACGUGCCAGCAGCCGCGGUAAAACG